AGUGAACGCUGGCGGUAGGCCUAACACAUGCAAGUCGAACGGCAGCACAGUAAGAGCUUGCUCUUACGGGUGGCGAGUGGCGGACGUGUGAGGAAUACAUCGGAAUCUACUUUUUCGUGGGGGAUAACGUAGGGAAACUUACGCUAAUACCGCAUACGACCUACGGGUGAAAGUAGGGGAUCUUCGGACCUUGCGCGAUUGAAUGAGCCGAUGUCGGAUUAGCUAGUUGGCGGGGUAAAGGCCCACCAAGGCGAGGAUCCGUAGCUGGUCUGAGGGGAUGAUCAGCCACCCUGGAACUGAGACACGGUCCAGACUCCUACGGGAGGCCGCAGUGGGGAAUAUUGGACAAUGGGCGCAAGCCUGAUCCAGCCAUACCGCGUGGGUGAAGAAGACCUUCGGGUUGUAAAGCCCUUUUGUUGGGAAAGAAAAGCAGCAGGUUAAUACCCCGCUGUCCUGACGGUACCCAAAGAAUAAGCACCGGCUAACUUCGUG
This 492-nucleotide ribosomal RNA is filed under the name uncultured bacterium. RNAcentral's name for it is "partial 16S ribosomal RNA". It matches the Rfam family "Bacterial small subunit ribosomal RNA", at positions 29 to 507 of the family's 1533-position model. The record is from RNAcentral.